This is a long non-coding RNA of Brassica napus (rape), 2333 nucleotides long. RefSeq lists it as uncharacterized. The record is from RefSeq and is a predicted model, not a curated record. The transcript is spliced from 5 exons. Lineage: Eukaryota; Viridiplantae; Streptophyta; Magnoliopsida; Brassicales; Brassicaceae.
UACUUAGAUGUUGUCUAUACUAAUUUUAGAACAUUAAUUUCAACACAAAAAAUGUAAAUUUUUUGUUUCACCUUUUAUUACUGUUAAUUGAUGAGUAAAAUAAUAACUAUAAAACCAGUAGUUUAUUAAAUAUAUACUCUGAAAAUGUAAAACAAAAUAUACUUCCUUGUUGGCUGAUUUUCAUUAUAAUGAAAACUAGAGAUGGACCCGCGCGCCCGCGCGGGUGUUGGCUUUUGCAAGAAUGAUUUUUGUUUUCCAUGUAAAUAUUAUAUACUUUAGAUGUGUCACGAUGUUAGAGAAUUGUAUCGCGGUAUUAGUAUUCUUUUUAAUAACGUUUUUUUGUUUUCCAUUGUAAAUGUACAAUUUUUUGUUUACAAAAAGCUACAUAGCACAUAUAUAAUAUUAAAAUGUUAAUAAUUCUUUAAUAAUAUAGAUAUGCUAUCAAUUUUAUUGAAUUUAUGUAAACAAAGUCUUUAUAUUUCAAAUUAAAUUUAUGUUUUUAUAGAAAGAAAGAAGAUUCAUAUUUUUUAACCAUUCAAUAAUUUAUUUCUUUAGAUAAUUUUUAUAAACAAAAUAUUAAUCAAAAUUUCAAUGAAAAUGUAAUUUAGAUUAUGAUUUGGGCAUGAUGUUGCAAAAAAACAAAAUAAAGAUUAUGAUUUGGGCUGUCAUGUUUUAAAAGUGGGUUGGGCCCAAAAAAAAACGUUUUAUCAAAACAAACUCAUUAGGUAUCUGUUAUUUUUUUUUCCGGGAACAAACGAACAGUUUUCUUUGUCACCGACAAAAAUUGAUAAAAAAAUAUUUUUCGAUCAAAACAAACAUAAGAUCCAGACGACAUGUUCUUCUGAUUCCAAAUCAAACCUAAGAAUAUGAGUGCAGAUCGUAAGAGAAAAACGGUAACCACCCCUAAUCACUAUUAAAGCUUUUCCUUUUGCGAAUCUUAAGGUUUUGUUUUAUUUCUAUAAAGCUUCUGUUUUAGAGGUUCUUUAGGUUUUGAUAAAUUUUGCUCUAGACAUUGAUUGUUGGCGAUCUACAUCAUGUAGAACGGGAGCAGGCGUCAAGCUAAGAAACAUUUCAUAGAAGAGUAGUUUAUAAAAAUUCAUGUCUUAACACACGGGCUUCAUAGGAGAAUACGAACAGAGAAGAUGGAAGAGGAUUUGAGAUUAUCAGAGUGUACAUGGUAAGUAUUUUUUGUUAAUUAUUCAAUUAAUUAGAGAAUUUGGUAACUGUAUAUUAAUUUGGUGAUGAUGUUUCUUGUCAAAUUUCAUUUCAAUGUUUGCAAAUUGACCCCUUGGCGGGCCUUGAAGAAUCUGCCAUUGUUCAUUCAUGAGCAAUAUAAAGGUGUUUCUCAUUUUUGUUAAUUAUUUAUUUGGUUUGUAAGUGUGUAUAUUUAUUGGAAUUGGCAUAACAGCUUAUGUAUAAUUCCCUCAAACAUAGAAGAAGUUUAUUGGACCUAUAAUGGAGUUGAUAGAUCGGGAAGUUCUAUCAAAGGAGUCUGGUGAGGUUGCUUCUACAGAGAACCUUUUCUUUGGCAAGGCAGUGGAGAAGGAAGAAAGUGAUUUUCGUGAUCAGAGCCCAAAUGUUGGUGAAAGAACGAUCAGAAGCUAUGAAGAAAGAAGUUUCUCUCCCACGUUCAGCAAGUGAAUCCAGACAACAACUCACGGAUCACUUGGAAUGGAAGUUGCAAGUCCGAGAGAAGGGAUGUUGUUACAUAGACAGCAUUGUUUUACUAACGGCAUAAACAGAUCAUGGUAACUAAUUACGAAGGCAGCGGACGGAAAUUAUGAGGCAAGGUAAUCUGAAGCAAAAAGAUAUGUUACUUGGAGAAAAAUAUAACGUGGAAAGAAAGGUAGUUAGAGUGGAACUGGUGACAAUGGAAUUCGCUGUGAUGGACAUCUUGUAUAGAUGCCUAGUUGGUCUGUAUAUCCCGGUUGCUGGGUAAACCAAGAAAUUCUCGAGGAACUUCCAUUGAUCAACCUGUAAGUUCUUAACACGGCCAAGGAAGGCACUCUUACAGGUACAAUGUAUCUCAGAUCCCUACAAUAACAAUUAGAACUACAUUGGUUAGUCGUUGGCAACACAAAAUUCUAGAAAACAAAUAGAUUCAAACAAAAAACAUACCAUCCUAUCUUCAAGUAUGAACUCGAAAGUGUCUUCUCCAGAAUAGUUUGAAUGUUGUGUCCACGAAUGAAGAACUUUCACUUCAACCUUCCAAGUAGUUUUAUAUGGUUUGAGAUUGUUCAACAUAGUGAUUUCGCUGUUUGUAACCAUAGCCAUAGUAAGUUAAAAAGAAAAGGUCGCCGACUGCUAAUAAGAACCUAACAGAACUUUUAUAA